Long non-coding RNA from Bubalus bubalis (water buffalo), 3167 nucleotides. RefSeq lists it as uncharacterized. The transcript has 3 exons. The record is from RefSeq and is a predicted model, not a curated record. NCBI's taxonomy places the organism in Eukaryota, Metazoa, Chordata, Mammalia, Artiodactyla, Bovidae.
CCCAUGGACUGCAGCCCACCAGGCUCCUCCAUCCAUGAGAUUUCCCAGGCAAGAGUACUGGAGUGGGGUGCCAUUGUCUUCUCCCAAAAGAACCAGACCUUUCAUAAAACGAAUUCCUGGAGACCAUGCUCUAUGACGAUGUGGGGUGAUACUGUCUGAUAACCUAACUGGUCAUCCUUAUGGUAUUUGCUCCAGGAAAGACUUUGUGAUGGUCCACUCUUGCCCAGGAAGGCGUUCUGGAAGCAGUGCCAACCUCGGGAAGACGUGCUGGCACGGCAUCUUUCCUGUACACGUGGAGAGUGAGUUGAGCAGAGUCUCAUUUUUGUCUCUGGUGGGUCGCACUUGGCUUCCUCUCCCAUAAGACCCAGCCCUUUGGAUAAUUGCUUUGCGGAAGGGAUGUCUGCUUGGACUGUGAUACUUUUUCAACAGGGCUCUUUCUCUGCAUUGUCAGAUUCUCUUGUAAUGACUGUAACCACUUUGCUAAUGAAUUUUCCAUCAGUUGACCAAUCAAUGAGGAAUGUCAUUCCACAAAUCAUGAGAGAGCAUACUAUCUACUAGAUGAUUCUAGACCUUAGUUGGGUCCCCUCAGCUGGGGGUAGAGCAGUGAGCACGAUAAAGUCCUUAUUCAUGUGAACUUGACAAUCUGGUGGGAGAGAUGGACGAUCGAAGCCAAGCGAUAUCAUUCUAUCCACUGUAGAGUUAUGAAGGAAAGAAAGCAGGCUAAGCUGUGAGGAAGAGGCACAGAUAGAAUAGACAUUUAUGUUAAAUAUAGGGUCUGGGAAAGUUUCUCUGGGGAGGGGAAAUGGAAAUGAAGUAGGUUUGGGAGUCAGACUUUCGGGAGAAGCUUGUGGCACAUGAAAGCUCUCUGGCAUCUUUGAGGAACAGCAAGAAGGAAGGUGGGGCUAGACUGGACUGUGGGUGAAAGAGGUAGCCUCUGAGGCUUGGGCACCUCCAGAUUUUGUUCUGAGUGUGAUGGAAACUAUGGGUGGAUUCUGAGUGGGGAGGGAGGUGUGGUCUGUAUUGAAAUGGUUACUCUGACCACAAGGGUGCUGAUAGAGAGCCCACAUGGAUGGCUAUUGUAUUGAUCUGAGUUGCUGAUGGAAGCUAGGAAGAGAAUGGGAGUCUCCACAUGAAGAACAUAGGAGGUCCCACAGGUAGAGCCAGCAGACCCAGGGAUGGGUUGGAUGAGCCUAGCCAGGGUCAGGAGUGACAAAGUGGGGCAGGGGAUGAACCCGAGGGUCUACACAUGUGACCACUGCUGAAUUGGGGCUCCAGAGUGAGUCACUGGGUUCCCAGGAGCUUUGGGAGAAGUUAUCAUUACCAGGAUUGCCAAGAUCCAGGCGGAGGCAGUGACCAUGGGGCUUGAGGGUCAGGUGGGAUGUUGGCAGAGGUAACUGGAGGUGAGGCAGCCUCCAGGCCAAUGCUAGAGAGCUGGGGACAGCAUCACUGGGUGGGCACUGUCAGGAAGGAGGUCGGGAGGUGUUCGGGGGGAGGAUGGUGAACCAGAAGGAGGACCUGGGUGGCUGUGAUCCAGGUAGUGGGCAGUGAGGUCUGAAGAAAAUGCUGUGAGCUGAGAUUUUAAAAGGGAAAGAGGAGAAGAAUGGUCUGGAGGUGAGGCUGAGCCGGGAGGCCAUCUGUCCACUGUGAGCCUCCAGUGUAGGAGGUGGCGGGGUGCAGAUAGCCCUCGGUGGUGGACAGUGAAUCCCUCCAGAGAAGUGAGGACAUGGUGAUGAGUUGCGGUCCCAAAUGUGGAAGGGCUGUGGGGCGUGGGCACUGGGUGGUCAGUCUGGGAAACUGAACCCAGUCCUGCUGGCCUCAGGUUGUUGGGGGGGAUGUGGUGACCUCUGAUGCCAGCUUUCUGGGAAUUGUGUUGCUGGGUGGUUCAUCGGGAUGAGGGAGUUGGGGUCUCCCGGGGUCUUCUGAGGGGACCUCAGGGCCCAGGGCUGGGCAGACUCUCCAGGAGCCCCCCGUGGUGGCUCUUCUGGAACUCCCCUCAUCUGGUAGACCCCACAAGUCCCAUGAAGGAGCUUGGUGGUGCUUCGAUUGCUUGAUAGAGAACCCAGUGUGCUGUGCUGAGAAGUCCAAGGUCCCUAUUCUGAAAGCCCAGGGUCCACACCCACACGGAGGGUCCUGAGCUGGGACAAGCUGGCACUGCGAAGCCCCUCUCUCCUCGUUUCUGAGCCCUGCCCCCGAAGACUCGGGAAUGCCAUCACCGCUCCAGGGAUGGGGCAGGCAGGGCGUCAGCCCCGCUCCGGGGAGGUAAGUGGCCAGCCGCCGGCACCCCAGUGUGUUUUUGGGACGCGCGUUGUCCGCCUCACUAACGCUCCGUGUCCCAUCUGCCCGCAGGACCGCAGUCGGAGGCGGCGCCCCUCGGAGGACUGGAAGGGGCCCCUGCUCUGUCUUGCCUCUGCCUUUCUGUGGUACUUGAAGAGAAGUUGUUCGUGGUGGAUUCGCUUUACUUAUGACGAAUCAUUCACGGACAACACUUUUUUCAGUACCAAAUACUACCUCUAAGGAUGCCCACCUCGGAUGGGACGGCCACUCUGGAAGAGAAGACUCUGUGCUCUUCGUGGAAGAUGCGACUGGCUGGCCGGCCGGCCAGGGCCGUGGGCUUGUCCAAGCUGGUCACCUCAGGAGACGUCGAGGAGCGGCUUCCUGGGCCCCAGGCCAUCUUCCCGAGGAGACCCUGGUGUCAGCGCCGUUCAGGGUGUGUGACUGGUUGACCAGAGGGGCCAGCACUCUGUUCACCCUCUGGGCCACCUAGUCACCAACCCUCAGCACCUGCCUGGGAGAUGCGGAGGAGGUCCUGCCGACUUUGGGGCAGCGGUGGGCGUGCACUGGCGGCCGCUCUGUGGAUCCGGACGACCAUGGCAGGGAGGGCACAUGGACUUAAAAAGUGAAGGGUCCACAGAGGUGAUGCUCACGUGGGGAAGUAGCCACGGUGCAGCCAUCAUAGGAUUCGAGGGGCUACCAUGAUGGGCUGACGUGACGAUGGCAGUGAGAUGGCAGCCCUCCUGGUCCAGGAGGACGAGCGGGAGUCACCCCUGCUUAGGGUAAGUGCGUCUCGGGUGAGCAUGCAAUGAACGUGCUCGCAUGUCACUCGGCCCACUACCCAAGAUUGUUCCACCGCUUCCUUACAGGCAGCCACCUUGGCAGGACAGGCAAUG